RNAcentral lists this ribosomal RNA (559 nucleotides) under uncultured bacterium. Its description in RNAcentral is "partial 16S ribosomal RNA". It matches the Rfam family "Bacterial small subunit ribosomal RNA", at positions 355 to 932 of the family's 1533-position model. The record is from RNAcentral.
UGGGGAAUAUUGCACAAUGGGCGAAAGCCUGAUGCAGCAACGCCGCGUGAGUGAUGAAGGCCUUCGGGUUGUAAAGCUCUGUCUUUUGGGACGAUAAUGACGGUACCAAAGGAGGAAGCCACGGCUAACUACGUGCCAGCAGCCGCGGUAAUACNUAGGUGGCAAGCGUUGUCCGGAUUUACUGGGCGUAAAGGAUGCGUAGGCGGAUUUUUAAGUGANAUGUGAAAAACCCCUAAGCUUAACUUGGGGGACUGCAUUUCAUACUGGAAAUCUAGAGUGCGGGAGAGGAGAAUGGAAUUCCUAGUGUAGCGGUGAAAUGCGUAGAGAUUAGGAAGAACACCAGUGGCGAAGGCGAUUCUCUGGACCGUAACUGACGCUGAGGCAUGAAAGCGUGGGUAGCAAACAGGAUUAGAUACCCUGGUAGUCCACGCCGUAAACGAUGAGUACUAGGUGUAGGAGGUAUCGACCCCUUCUGUGCCGCAGUUAACACAAUAAGUACUCCGCCUGGGAAGUACGAUCGCAAGAUUAAAACUUAAAUGAAUUGACGGGGUCAUAGCUG